AUUGAACGCUGGCGGCAGGCCUAACACAUGCAAAUCGAGCGGUAGCACAGAGAGCUUGCUCUCGGGUGACGAGCGGCGGACGGGUGAGUAAUGUCUGGGAAACUGCCUGAUGGAGGGGGAUAACUACUGGAAACGGUAGCUAAUACCGCAUAACGUCGCAAGACCAAAGAGGGGGACCUUCGGGCCUCUUGCCAUCAGAUGUGCCCAGAUGGGAUUAGCUAGUAGGUGGGGUAACGGCUCACCUAGGCGACGGUCCGUAGCGGGUCGGCGAGGAUGACCACCCACACAGGACCUGAGACACGGUCCAGCCUCCUACGGGAGGCAGCAGUGGGGAAUAUUGCACAAUGGGCGCAAGCCUGAUGCAGCCAUGCCGCGUGUAUGAAGAAGGCCUUCGGGUUGUAAAGUACUUUCAGCGGGGAGGAAGGUGUUGAGGUUAAUAACCUCAGCAAUUGACGUUACCCGCAGAAGAAGCACCGGCUAACUCCGUGCCAGCCGCCGCCGUAA
This 504-nucleotide ribosomal RNA is filed under the name uncultured bacterium. RNAcentral's name for it is "partial 16S ribosomal RNA". It matches the Rfam family "Bacterial small subunit ribosomal RNA", at positions 29 to 523 of the family's 1533-position model. The record is from RNAcentral.